CACGUAUGGCGCAAGCGUUGUCCGGAAUUAUUGGGCGUAAAGAGCUCGUAGGCGGUCUGUUGCGUCCGCUGUGAAAACUCGGGGCUUAACCCCGAGCCUGCAGUGGAUACGGGCAGACUAGAGGUAGGUAGGGGAGAAUGGAAUUCCAGGUGUAGCGGUGAAAUGCGUAGAUAUCUGGAGGAACACCGGUGGCGAAGGCGGCAUCCUGGACCGACACUGACGCUGAGGAGCGAAAGCCAGGGGAGCAAACGGG
RNAcentral lists this ribosomal RNA (253 nucleotides) under uncultured bacterium. RNAcentral's name for it is "partial 16S ribosomal RNA". It matches the Rfam family "Bacterial small subunit ribosomal RNA", at positions 524 to 776 of the family's 1533-position model. The record is from RNAcentral.